AAAUGAAUGUAACAUCAUUUAUAUAUAAUGGAGUUCUAUACAAAAUAGUUAAGUAAUUACAUCAUACGAAGACAACGAUCCAGCAACCAAAGUUGACUGGGAGACGAUGGCCUAGACCACUCAUGAACUCAUCACAGCAUCCUUCAUGCGCCUCAUCCUACGGUACCUAUUCUUGACCUGGGGGGAUCUGAGUACAGCAAGGGUGAGCUCACAUACGUUCAUCGCUCAACAAGUUGUGGGGAAUAAUGUGCAUGAACUCAUCGAAGGUGGGAUCUCAUGUGAAGUGUAAGGCUUACCAAAGGAGAUGGUUAAAGCUAAGCAUUGCUUUUAGAGUUGGUCAGAAUUUUAUUAGCAUUUACUAUGCAUAAGUAGAUACCAACCCAAUUAAAUAAAAGAUCACAAUUGAUAAUAACACCCACGACGCAAUGCAUCUAACAGAUUAAGUUUAGUUCCAUAAGUUAAUCAUGCGAGAGUCCUGAGUCGCUCUUGACCGUGAGCAUGGCUGAUAUACCAGUUUUACACUCUGCAGAGGUUGCGCCCUUUACCCACAAGUCGUGUAUCCCGUCUAGCCAGGGUUUCAAGGCUCUUAGACACUUCCGAGGUGAAUGGCUAGGGAUCCACUAUGAGGCCUUUACAAAGUUCCACUAGCUUUAGAAAACCCGCUACGGUUUCUAAGAAGGGCAAUAUAGGAAUCCCUCGUCCGAAAAGCCAUCGCAGCAUGAUCGACCCGAGAACCUCCCUAUACACAGCUCCUCUAUCGCCCUUGCCCCUUUUGGUUAAGGUAGUGCUCCACUAGCUUUCCUAAUUAGUCGACCAAGGGCGUCCCAUUCCACCCUUGUGGUAUCAUGGAUAUCUCAAGUUAAGCUCCAUGUUCGGAUGUUCCAAUCAACACAAUGAUCUUGUCAUGAACAAUAAUUAAAACAACAGCAUAACUGGAACAUGAUCAUAAUGUAACAUUAAUCCCAAAACCAGGUAGAGCAAUAGCAAAACUACCCAAAAGUUCAGUGGUAAACAAGGUGUGGGAUAAACAAAUCUAGGGAACCUAUUAGGUCCCAUAAAAUUAACCUGAGCAUGUCAUAGUGAUUAAUUGGAACAUUAUUGGGUAAAGAGAAAAGUGAUCAAGGGCACAACUUGCCUUAGACUCAAGAUUCCUAGGUAUUUCACCAACUUGGUCUUCAAGUGACUCGUUAACCUCGCUGCUACUCUGGUAAUACAAACAAACAUGGUGUAGGAGAAAUUAACAUCACACCAAACAUAAGAACAAACUGCAUAAUAAUGUUCUACACGUCGUAACUAGAUCCUAGGUUCGAGAAUCACUAAAUUCAGAGUUAUGGUCAUAAAGUUAUGAUUUUACGAAGGUUUAAGUGUCUACUAUAAAACAAAUAAGGUACAAGAUUUUAACCACAGGUUUCAUGGUAAUACAAGGUUACUAGAUGAUAAACAAUAUUAAUACAAGAUUAAUGCAUCUGGAAUGGAUCAAAAAGGAGCUAAAAUGAAUUACUUAUGAAUUAAACAAGUUUCUGGAAUUAUUUUUAUACUAGAAAUCAUUUUCUGAUUUAAUUCUGAAUUUUCCUAAUGGUUCUGAACCACGGACAUAAUUACCAGAGAGCUCGGGGUUAAAACUAUAAAUUCCAGGACCUACUUGUAAUUACUUUUGGCUUGAGGUGGACGGCAGGUUCAUUAUACAAUAGCUUAGGGUCUCUUAUGAAUAUAUUCCGCGGUGAAGGGGUAUCAUACGAUUUCGGCCAUUAGAUGGUCCACCAACGCCCCAGAUUAAUUCGCUCAUAACUCUACACAAGUAAGCAACACAUUCCAUCGGAUCAAUGAUCGGUGGUUAAGAUUUAAAAUCACCUAGUUGGCUCUAGACUGUUUACUUUCGGAUCAACCUGCUAGAUCGAUUAACUCGAAACGUUACCCGGUUCUAAUCCCAUCCAUCCGUUGAAGAUCCAACGGUCGUCGAGCGCAACCCCUUUUCUCGUCUCCUCUUCGACUAACCUAGGCGCGUCGGCGCCCACACGACCCACGGCGGCACCAUCGCCAGAGCAAGUCCACUUCGCAGCCAGGUGCCCCCAACCUCCAAACGAACCAGCGCAAAUAAGCCAAACGACUUUUUGUGAAGCUUGGGAAGCGAAUCAUACCAGAGAAUACGCUGCAAGGAGCCUACGAGCGGCGCUCGAGGAACUCUGUCGAGUGAUUCAGCUGUUCCUCGAGAGAUAGUGCGGGACGAGAUCGACGGUAGCAGCGUUGUUCUCUCUUUCUUCUCCUCUCUGCUCACAUGAUGCACUCGGCUUUGGCACAGACGGAUGAGUGGAGGGAGGCCGUGGCCUCAAAUAUACAUCCCUAGGGGCGCCCAGAUUCCGGGCCAAGUCCAAGAACGGCCAGCGUGGUUUCUGGGCGAUCGAGGGCCAGUUACAACAAUCUCGGAUAGGGAUGGUCGAGAUGAGGAGAACAAUACAGAGAAGAUAUUUGGGGUGGGAUUCUGUGUUUUUUGUCCAAAGCCAGCCCCCGAGGUCAGGGAUAGAGCUGACCAGCGGGCCCCCUAGUGGUGACACCAUUCAACGAGUGCGGACCACGCAGAGAAGUGGGCCCCAUGUGGCAGUGGAGGCAGAGGUAUGGCUGGACCCUGGGUCCACGCGUCAGCGCGAUAUGGAGGAAGG
RNAcentral lists this long non-coding RNA (2657 nucleotides) under Zea mays. Its description in RNAcentral is "long non-coding RNA (ZMAY_LNC005440)". The record is from RNAcentral. Lineage: Eukaryota; Viridiplantae; Streptophyta; Magnoliopsida; Poales; Poaceae.